GAUGUAACGCUACGCGUACGAGGCUUAACACAUGACAAGUCGAGGGGCAGCGAGGGGAUUUAGGCUUAGGCUAAAUCCGCUGGCGACCGGCGCACGGGUGCGUAACGCGUAUCCAACUUUCCCGUUACUCAGGGAUAGCCUUCCGAAAGGGAGAUUAAUACCUGAUGGUGUUUGAAGUUCGCAUGUUCUUCAAACUAAAGAUUUAUCGGUAACGGGUAGGGAUGCGUGACAUUAGAUAGUAGGCGGGGUAACGGCCCACCUAGUCUACGAUGUCUAGGGGUUCUGAGAGGAAGGUCCCCCACACUGGAACUGAGACACGGUCCAG
This 325-nucleotide ribosomal RNA is filed under the name uncultured bacterium. RNAcentral describes it as "bacterial SSU rRNA". It matches the Rfam family "Bacterial small subunit ribosomal RNA", at positions 46 to 334 of the family's 1533-position model. The record is from RNAcentral.